RNAcentral lists this ribosomal RNA (444 nucleotides) under uncultured bacterium. Its description in RNAcentral is "bacterial SSU rRNA". It matches the Rfam family "Bacterial small subunit ribosomal RNA", at positions 331 to 792 of the family's 1533-position model. The record is from RNAcentral.
CCAGACUCCUACGGGAGGCAGCAGUGGGGAAUAUUGCACAAUGGGGGAAACCCUGAUGCAGCGACGCCGCGUGAGUGAAGAAGUAUUUCGGUAUGUAAAGCUCUAUCAGCAGGGAAGAAAAUGACGGUACCUGACUAAGAAGCCCCGGCUAACUACGUGCCAGCAGCCGCGGUAAUACGUAGGGGGCAAGCGUUAUCCGGAUUUACUGGGUGUAAAGGGAGCGUAGACGGUGAUGCAAGUCAGAAGUGAAAGCCCGGGGCUCAACUCCGGGACUGCUUUUGAAACUGUGUGACUGGAGUGCAGGAGAGGUAAGCGGAAUUCCUGGUGUAGCGCUGAAAUGCGUAGAUAUCGCGCAGAACUCCGAUUGCGAAGGCAGCAUGCCGGCUCCACACUGACGCUGAGGCACGAAAGCGUGGGUAUCGAACAGGAUUAGAUACCCGCGUA